Molecule: small nuclear RNA, 104 nt
Organism: Monodelphis domestica (gray short-tailed opossum)
Lineage: Eukaryota; Metazoa; Chordata; Mammalia; Didelphimorphia; Didelphidae
Source: Ensembl
UUGCUUCAGCAGCAUAUGCACUAAAUUUGGGGCAAUACAUGAGAAGGUUACCAUGGCCCCUGUGCAAAGAUAACAUACAAAUUCAUGAAGUGUUAUAAUUUUUU